GUCCACGCCCUAAACGAUGUCAACUGGUUGUUGGGGCCUUCGGGCCUUAGUAGCGCAGCUAACGCGUGAAGUUGACCGCCUGGGGGAGUACGGUCGCAAGAUUAAAACUCAAAGGAAUUGACGGGGACCCGCACAAGCGGUGGAUGAUGUGGAUUAAUUCGAUGCAACGCGAAAACCUUACCUACCCUUGACAUGUCUGGAAUCCCGAAGAGAUUUGGGAGUGCUCGCAAGAGAACCGGAACACAGGUGCUGCAUGGCUGUCGU
RNAcentral lists this ribosomal RNA (264 nucleotides) under uncultured bacterium. Its description in RNAcentral is "partial 16S ribosomal RNA". It matches the Rfam family "Bacterial small subunit ribosomal RNA", at positions 793 to 1055 of the family's 1533-position model. The record is from RNAcentral.